This 515-nucleotide ribosomal RNA is filed under the name uncultured bacterium. Its description in RNAcentral is "partial 16S ribosomal RNA". It matches the Rfam family "Bacterial small subunit ribosomal RNA", at positions 28 to 523 of the family's 1533-position model. The record is from RNAcentral.
GAUGAACGCUGGCGGCGUGCCUAAUACAUGCAAGUCGAGCGAAUGGAUUAAGAGCUUGCUCUUAUGAAGUUAGCGGCGGACGGGUGAGUAACACGUGGGUAACCUGCCCAUAAGACUGGGAUAACUCCGGGCAACCGGGGCUAAUACCGGAUAACAUUUUGAACCGCAUGGUUCGAAAUUGAAAGGCGGCUUCGGCUGUCACUUAUGGAUGGACCCGCGUCGCAUUAGCUAGUUGGGGAGGGAACGGCUCACCAAGGCAACGAUGCGUAGCCGACCUGAGAGGGUGAUCGGCCACACUGGGACUGAGACACGGCCCAGACUCCUACGGGAGGCAGCAGUAGGGAAUCUUCCGCAAUGGACGAAAGUCUGACGGAGCAACGCCGCGUGAGUGAUGAAGGCUUUCGGGUCGUAAAACUCUGUUGUUAGGGAAGAACAAGUGCUAGUUGAAUAAGCUGGCACCUUGACGGUACCUAACCAGAAAGCCACGGCUAACUACGUGCCAGCCGCCGCAGUAA